RNAcentral lists this unclassified non-coding RNA (443 nucleotides) under unidentified. Its description in RNAcentral is "sequence contains ITS1". The stretch from base 107 to 259 matches the Rfam family "5.8S ribosomal RNA". The record is from RNAcentral.
UCUUCUCGUACGAUUAACUAUUCUUUGGUUGGUUGUGGGGUUUCCCCAGCCGGCCAAGGGAACACACACACGAAAUUAAUCUGUCUAAACACAAACGAAUAAUCAAAACUUUCAACAACGGAUCUCUUGGUUCUCGCAUCGAUGAAGAACGCAGCGAAAUGCGAUAAGUAAUAUGAAUUGCAGCCUUUGUGAAUCAUCGAAUCUUUGAACGCACAUUGCGCCUUGGGGUAUUCCCCAAGGCAUGCCUGUUUGAGCGUCAGACUCCCUCAACCCCCCGGGGUUGGCAGUGAGCGGACGCCGAGUCCCCUCGAAAGAUUGGAACCCAGAGCACAUGUCUAGGAUUACCCAACUCAUGUUGUGCUGGCGCAGACCCCCCAUAUACUUUCGACCUCAAAUCAGGUAGGACUACCCGCUGAACUUAAGCAUAUCAAUAAGCGGAGGAA